GACGAACGCUGGCGGCGUGCUUAACACAUGCAAGUCGAAUGAAGUGGCGAACGGGUGAGUAACGCGUAAUCAACCUGCCCUUCAGAGGGGGACAACAGGUGGAAACGACUGCUAAUACCGCAUACUGAAGGAGGGGAUUGCGUCUGAUUAGCUAGUUGGAGGGGUAACGGCCCACCAAGGCGAUGAUCAGUAGCAGGUCUGAGAGAAUGACCGGCCACAUUGUGACCGCGAACCGUCCCAGACUCCUACGGGAGGCAGCAGUGGGGAAUCUUCCGCAAUGGACGAAAGUCUGACGGAGCAACGCCGCGUGAGUGAUGACGGCCUUCGGGGUGUAAAGCUCUGUUAAUCGGGACGCGGUACCGGAAUAGAAAGCCACGGCUAACUACGUGCCAGCAGCCGCGGUAAUAC
This 408-nucleotide ribosomal RNA is filed under the name uncultured bacterium. RNAcentral describes it as "partial 16S ribosomal RNA". It matches the Rfam family "Bacterial small subunit ribosomal RNA", at positions 28 to 526 of the family's 1533-position model. The record is from RNAcentral.